UGGGGAAUAUUGCACAAUGGGCGCAAGCCUGAUGCAGCCAUGCCGCGUGUGUGAAGAAGGCCUUCGGGUUGUAAAGCACUUUCAGCGAGGAGGAAGGUGGUGAACUUAAUACGUUCAUCAAUUGACGUUACUCGCAGAAGAAGCACCGGCUAACUCCGUGCCAGCAGCCGCGGUAAUACGGAGGGUGCAAGCGUUAAUCGGAAUUACUGGGCGUAAAGCGCACGCAGGCGGUUUGUUAAGUCAGAUGUGAAAUCCCCGGGCUCAACCUGGGAACUGCAUUUGAAACUGGCAAGCUAGAGUCUCGUAGAGGGGGGUAGAAUUCCAGGUGUAGCGGUGAAAUGCGGUAGAGAUCUGGAGGAAUACCGGUGGCGAAGGCGGCCCCCUGGACGAAGACUGACGCUCAGGUGCGGAAGCGUGGGGAGCAAAACAGGAUUAGAUACCCUGGUAGUCCACGCUGUAAAACGAUGUCGAUUUUGGAGGUUGUGCCCUUGAGGCGUGGCUUCCGGAGCUAACGCGUUAAAUCGACCGCCUGGGGAGUACGGCCGCAAGGUUAAAACUC
RNAcentral lists this ribosomal RNA (559 nucleotides) under uncultured bacterium. Its description in RNAcentral is "partial 16S ribosomal RNA". It matches the Rfam family "Bacterial small subunit ribosomal RNA", at positions 355 to 902 of the family's 1533-position model. The record is from RNAcentral.